RNAcentral lists this non-coding RNA (357 nucleotides) under Blautia hansenii DSM 20583. RNAcentral's name for it is "Group I catalytic intron". It matches the Rfam family "Group I catalytic intron". Rfam says of the family: Group I catalytic introns are large self-splicing ribozymes. They catalyse their own excision from mRNA, tRNA and rRNA precursors in a wide range of organisms. The core secondary structure consists of 9 paired regions (P1-P9). The record is from RNAcentral. Lineage: Bacteria; Bacillati; Bacillota; Clostridia; Lachnospirales; Lachnospiraceae.
GCUCCAAAGUAUUGUAAAAUGCUUUAAAAUUAUAAACACAUUGAAUUGCUGGAAAUCCUUAAAGCUAAUUACACCACAGCAUAAGUAUGAAAUAUGACUAAGUGCGAAGGUUGUGAAAACAGAAAAAAGUAAUUAGAUGAUACAUGGUUAAAUCCUAAAUAUCAAAAGCAAGAAACACCUAUUUUAGGUGUUUUUAUUAUGCUCAAAAUAGGCAAUCAGCAGCGAAGCUCCGAACAGGAGAACGUUCAACGACUAUCUCGUAAGAGAGUAGGGUUACAAGCUAUUGGUAAUUCGAAGUGGUGUGCAGUCACCUACGUGUGGCUGAAGAUAUAGUCUAAUCUUUAGUGAAAGCUAAAG